Molecule: ribosomal RNA, 496 nt
Filed under: uncultured bacterium
Lineage: Bacteria
Description: bacterial SSU rRNA
Rfam family: Bacterial small subunit ribosomal RNA
Source: RNAcentral
AUGGCUCAGGAUGAACGCUGGCGGCGUGCCUAACACAUGCAAGUCGAGCGGAGACCUAGUGAAGUAGUAAUACGGAACAGAUCUUAGCGGCGGACGGGUGAGUAACACGUGAGUAAUCUGCCUUCUGCAGGGGAAUAACAUUGUGAAAACAGUGCUAAUACCGCAUAACAUCCGACUGGGGCAUCCCGGACGGAUCAAAGGAGCAAUCCGGCAGAAGAUGAGCUCGCGUCCGAUUAGCUAGUUGGUGAGGUAGUGGCUCACCAAGGCGACGAUCGGUAGCCGAACUGAGAGGUUGAUCGGCCACAUUGGGACUGAGACACGGCCCGGACUCCUACGGGAGGCAGCAGUGGGGAAUAUUGGGCAAUGGGCGCAAGCCUGACCCAGCAACGCCGCGUGAAGGACGAAGGCCUUCGGGUUGUAAACUUCUUUGAUCAGGGACGAAACAAAUGACGGUACCUGAGGAACAAGCCACGGCUAACUACGUGCCAGCCGCUGC